GGGAUAAUUUAUCUCCGUGUUGUAGCUAACGCGUUAAGCACUCCGCCUGGGGACUACGGUCGCAAGACUAAAACUCAAAGGAAUUGACGGGGACCCGCACAAGCGGUGGAGCAUGUGGUUUAAUUCGAUGCAACGCGAAAAACCUUACCACUCCUUGACAUGGAGAUUAGAUCCUUCUUAACGGAAGGGCGCAGUUCGGCUGGAUCUCGCACAGGUGCUGCAUGGCUGUCGUCAGCUCGUGUCGUGAGAUGUUGGGUUAAGUCCCGCAACGAGCGUAACCCUCAUCCUUAGUUGCCAGCGGGUAAUGCCGGGCACUUUAAGGAAACUGCCGGUGGUAAACUGGAGGAAGGUGGGGAUGAUGUCAAGUCAGCACGGCCCUUAUGGGGUGGGCUACACACGUGCUACAAUGGUGACUACAAUAGGUUGCAAUGUCGCAAGGCUGAGCUAAUCCGUAAAAGUCAUCUCAGUUCGGAUUGUCCUCUGCAACUCGAGGGCAUGAAGUCGGAAUCGCUAGUAAUCGUGGAUCAGCAUGCCACGGUGAAUACGUUCUCGGGUCUUGUACACACUGCCCGUCACGCCAUGGGAAUUGGCUUAACUCGAAGCUGGUGCGCUAACCGAAAGG
Molecule: ribosomal RNA, 622 nt
Filed under: Anaplasma phagocytophilum
Lineage: Bacteria; Pseudomonadati; Pseudomonadota; Alphaproteobacteria; Rickettsiales; Anaplasmataceae
Description: bacterial SSU rRNA
Rfam family: Bacterial small subunit ribosomal RNA
Source: RNAcentral